This 1991-nucleotide long non-coding RNA is filed under the name Lactuca sativa (garden lettuce). RNAcentral's name for it is "long non-coding RNA (LSAT_LNC006019)". The record is from RNAcentral. Lineage: Eukaryota; Viridiplantae; Streptophyta; Magnoliopsida; Asterales; Asteraceae.
GGGGAUCAGACAGUUCGUGUCUGCGCAGAGGCGCGAGACCGUGUUGGUAUCGCAGGAGGCCGCCAUGUGGCGUGAGUUAGAGGUUGAGUUGCAGUUGCGUGAGAUGAGGCAGGCCCCGAUGCAGUCGCAGUCGGCACCGAAACGGUCCAUGACCGUAGACGUUAGAAUGGGGGAUCGGAGCGGUCACACUUGGGGGGAGUGGGGGGGGGGUGGCANGUGUUGGUAUCGCAGGAGGCCGCCAUGUGGCGUGAGUUAGAGGUUGAGUUGCAGUUGCGUGAGAUGAGGCAGGCCCCGAUGCAGUCGCAGUCGGCACCGAAACGGUCCAUGACCGUAGACGUUAGAAUGGGGGAUCGGAGCGGUCACACUUGUGGGAAGUGUGAGAGAGAUGGCACCGGAGCUUGUUGGCCCAGUGGUGCAUGCCGCAAGUGCGGAAAGGAGAGGCAUGGUGCACGGGAUUGUCGGCAGUCAGUGCCAAUUCGGGAUUCAGGAUUUGUUAUCAGUGUCGGCAGGUUGGACAUUUGAGGGUCAACUGUCCACAACUUUCUGCAGGACCGGUGCAGGCUCUAGCACCGGCCACCUCGAGGAGUUCAGGAGGAGGACAAGAUGGAGCGGAGCCCCAAGGGCUCAGGGUUGUGCUUAUUGGCUUGCGACAGAGGGAGACGGAGCAGUGCCGGAGGCAGCUGCGGGUAUGAUGCUGUUUUGACGUCUUGAUUAGCUUGCGUUGAUUGUGGUGUAUUGUUGUGCUGGUAAUGUGGAUUUCGAUGCGGUAGUCGUUGUUGCGCGGGAUUGGCAUGGUUACGGAUUGGUGCUUCAGGUUUCAUUUUGGCAUUCGUUGUUCCCUGAUGGUUUGGUGUGGUUGUAGUCUGGUGUUUUAGUGCCGGUAACUUUGUGCGGUUUUCGAGGUGGUAUUCAACCUUUGACAGGUUGGGGGUUUGGUUAUGGAUUAUUGCUUGGGAAUUUCGUUGGUCAUCGUCCGUGAGGGUUGAUAGUGGGGAUGCGGCACUGGGUUGAAUGACGGAUAGCAUCUGACGAUUGAAAGAUCGGAUUCUUUUGAGCGGAUUGAUCAGGGAGGAGAUGUGUUUUGCUGAGAGUUGCUUACGCUUGUGGGGAGCAGUCAGAGGGAAAAUGUUCUCUUUGUGCAGGAUGGUUCUGUAAGGUCGUUAAUGACGAUCGGUGGCAGUUAGUCAGUGCUUUAGUGGGGGAGAAUUGCAAAUUCUCCGGGAGAUCGAUGAGUAUGUAAGGGUGCUUAGCUGUUGGGAUUCAGCAGGGUUUGUCAGCGCAAAGUAUAGGCCGACGAGAGCGAGUGUUGAGUAUGCGGGGCGAGAUACAGACCUAGGGCAUUUGAUUGUGGAGGCCUGAGAGGAGGUCGGGAUCAAGCUUGAGUAAGUAAUCGGAAUUUUGCGAUCAGAGUAUUGGUACGUUUGAGGUACGUGAUGGGUUGUACUGCAUUAAUCCCACGGGAUUAUGUUGUGCAUGUUUCUAGAGUUGGAACCGGAAGGUUCCCAGAGUUAGAACCUGAGGGUUCGCAGAGUUUGGGUGUACGGACCCACAGAGAUAUAGCCUCGAGUGGCUAGUAUGUGUUAUGAGAGUCGGUCCAGUCAUACUGGAGACUCUGUUGGUAUUGCUGGAUUAGCUCGAGAUUUGCGGAUCGCGUAUGUUGCAGUGUGAUUGCAUUGGAAGGUCUGGCCCCGGGUUAUUGAUCUUGUUUAGCUGAGGCAGUGAUUUUGAUGAGUGGAGAGAGUGCAUGGGAUUGAGAGCCCCUGCAAUGAGAACCAGAGUAUGUGAAUAGCAGUUACGCAAAAAGGGUGGUGUCGCUUGGGGCGAGCACCGUGGCACCGGUUGGAGUGGCAUUAUGUUCAAGAGAGUUCCGUGGAAAAGGAAAAGAGGAGGGUAUGUAACUCCGAAGGGGGUGCAAGUUCACGAAAGUGAAAGCUGCAGAGCAGAGUUAUGGUUAGAGUAUUUCGAGUAUGGUUUUGAGCAUCGUGUUCGCG